Molecule: transfer RNA, 72 nt
Filed under: Marmota monax (woodchuck)
Lineage: Eukaryota; Metazoa; Chordata; Mammalia; Rodentia; Sciuridae
Rfam family: tRNA
About the family: Transfer RNA (tRNA) molecules are approximately 80 nucleotides in length. Their secondary structure includes four short double-helical elements and three loops (D, anti-codon, and T loops).
Source: Rfam by way of RNAcentral
GGGGGUGUGGCUCAGCGGUAGAGCACUCGCCUAGCAUGUGCGAGGUCCUGGGUUCGAUCCUCAGCACCACAU